UUAUAUAACAAGCUCUGAUGGACUUAACCUAAAAACGGAUUGCCCAAAAUCAUUUGUUCAUGGUUUUGCCACGAUAGGGUACUGUUGGAAACGGCUUUACCUUCUGUAUUUGAAAAGGAGUAAAAAAAUGAGAAAA
This 136-nucleotide non-coding RNA is filed under the name Eubacterium limosum. Its description in RNAcentral is "MoCo sequence". It matches the Rfam family "Molybdenum/Tungsten riboswitch aptamer (Moco RNA motif)". Lineage: Bacteria; Bacillati; Bacillota; Clostridia; Eubacteriales; Eubacteriaceae. RNAcentral also lists the same sequence under 1 other name. The record is from RNAcentral.